Molecule: ribosomal RNA, 362 nt
Filed under: uncultured bacterium
Lineage: Bacteria
Description: bacterial SSU rRNA
Rfam family: Bacterial small subunit ribosomal RNA
Source: RNAcentral
GGAACGAAAAGGCCUUUUCUAAUACAGAGGGCUCAUGACGGUACUGUCAGAAUAAGCACCGGCUAACUACGUGCCAGCAGCCGCGGUAAUACGUAGGGUGCAAGCGUUAAUCGGAAUUACUGGGCGUAAAGCGUGCGCAGGCGGUUAUGUAAGACAGGUGUGAAAUCCCCGGGCUUAACCUGGGAACUGCAUUUGUGACUGCAUAGCUAGAGUACGGUAGAGGGGGAUGGAAUUCCGCGUGUAGCAGUGAAAUGCGUAGAUAUGCGGAGGAACACCGAUGGCGAAGGCAAUCCCCUGGACCUGUACUGACGCUCAUGCACGAAAGCGUGGGGAGCAAACAGGAUUAGAUACCCUGGUAGUCC